Molecule: ribosomal RNA, 330 nt
Filed under: uncultured bacterium
Lineage: Bacteria
Description: bacterial SSU rRNA
Rfam family: Bacterial small subunit ribosomal RNA
Source: RNAcentral
UGUGUAGGCGGUGUUCUAAGUCUGUUGUGAAAUCUCCCGGCUUAACUGGGAGGGUGCGGCGGAGACUGGAAUGCUAGAGUAUGGGAGAGGUAAGCGGAAUUCCUGGUGUAGCGGUGAAAUGCGUAGAUAUCAGGAGGAACACCUGUGGUGUAGACAGCUUACUGGACCAUGACUGACGCUGAGACACGAAAGCGUGGGUAGCAAACAGGAUUAGAUACCCUGGUAGUCCACGCCCUAAACGAUGCAUACUUGGUGUGAGCCAUUCAUUUGGUUCGUGCCGGAGCUAACGCGUUAAGUAUGCCGCCUGGGGAGUACGGUCGCAAGGCUGAA